This 109-nucleotide long non-coding RNA is filed under the name Peromyscus maniculatus bairdii (prairie deer mouse). RNAcentral describes it as "Nuclear enriched abundant transcript 1 conserved region 2 (ENSPEMG00000006481.2)". It matches the Rfam family "Nuclear enriched abundant transcript 1 conserved region 2". The record is from RNAcentral. Lineage: Eukaryota; Metazoa; Chordata; Mammalia; Rodentia; Cricetidae.
CCCCCUGGACUUUCCUAGGUUCCGUGGUUCCCUCUUCUGUGAUCUCUCUUCCCCCUCUCUUCCCUCUAACUCUGAGGUUAUGGGUUCACUUAAAACCUUGCCUCUGGGU